RNAcentral lists this ribosomal RNA (253 nucleotides) under uncultured bacterium. RNAcentral's name for it is "partial 16S ribosomal RNA". It matches the Rfam family "Bacterial small subunit ribosomal RNA", at positions 524 to 776 of the family's 1533-position model. The record is from RNAcentral.
UACGUAGGGUCCGAGCGUUGUCCGGAAUUAUUGGGCGUAAAGAGCUCGUAGGCGGCUUGUCACGUCGGUUGUGAAAGCCCGGGGCUUAACCCCGGGUCUGCAGUCGAUACGGGCAGGCUAGAGUUCGGUAGGGGAGAUCGGAAUUCCUGGUGUAGCGGUGAAAUGCGCAGAUAUCAGGAGGAACACCAGUGGCGAAGGCGGAUCUCUGGGCCGAUACUGACGCUGAGAAGCGAAAGCGUGGGGAGCGAACAGG